RNAcentral lists this non-coding RNA (30 nucleotides) under Cricetulus griseus (Chinese hamster). The record is from RNAcentral. Lineage: Eukaryota; Metazoa; Chordata; Mammalia; Rodentia; Cricetidae.
UCUGGACUAUGACAUCACCUUACAAGAAGC